GGGAUAACAGCUGGAAACGGCUGCUAAUACCGCAUAAGCGCACGAGGAGACAUCUCCUAGUGUGAAAAACUCCGGCGGUACAGGAUGGGCCCGCGUCUGAUUAGCUGGUUGGCAGGGUAACGGCCUACCAAGGCAACGAUCAGUAGCCGGUCCGAGAGGAUGAACGGCCACAUUGGAACUGAGACACGUUCCAAACUCCUACGGGAGGCAGCAGUGGGGAAUAUUGCACAAUGGGGGAAACCCUGAUGCAGCAACGCCGCGUGAGUGAAGAAGUAUUUCGGUAUGUAAAGCUCUAUCAGCAGGGAAGAUAAUGACGGUACCUGACUAAGAAGCUCCGGCUAAAUACGUGCCAGCAGCCGCGGUAAUACGUAUGGAGCAAGCGUUAUCCGGAUUUACUGGGUGUAAAGGGUGCGUAGGUGGCAGUGCAAGUCAGAUGUGAAAGGCCGGGGCUCAACCCCGGAGCUGCAUUUGAAACUGCUCGGCUAGAGUACAGGAGAGGCAGGCGGAAUUCCUAGUGUAGCGGUGAAAUGCGUAGAUAUUAGGAGGAACACCAGUGGCGAAGGCGGCCUGCUGGACUGUUACUAACACUGAGGCACGAAAGCGUGGGGAGCAAACAGGAUUAGAUACCCUGGUAGUCCACGCCGUAAA
Molecule: ribosomal RNA, 648 nt
Filed under: uncultured bacterium
Lineage: Bacteria
Description: bacterial SSU rRNA
Rfam family: Bacterial small subunit ribosomal RNA
Source: RNAcentral